Sorex araneus (European shrew) is the source of this 103-nucleotide small nucleolar RNA. RefSeq annotates it as small nucleolar RNA U13. NCBI's taxonomy places the organism in Eukaryota, Metazoa, Chordata, Mammalia, Eulipotyphla, Soricidae. The record is from RefSeq and is a predicted model, not a curated record. The transcript has a single exon.
ACCCUCUUCCUGUUCACAAGCACGACGACUGGGUGUUCACACGUUGUGUGACAGGUGCCUCCCUAAAGUCUCAUGACACGCUCGGCACAUUCCCCAGCUGAUG